RNAcentral lists this ribosomal RNA (780 nucleotides) under Cylindrotheca closterium. RNAcentral's name for it is "LSU rRNA". It matches the Rfam family "Eukaryotic large subunit ribosomal RNA", at positions 61 to 922 of the family's 3401-position model. Lineage: Eukaryota; Bacillariophyta; Bacillariophyceae; Bacillariales; Bacillariaceae. The record is from RNAcentral.
GAAACUAACCAGGAUUCCCUCAGUAAGGGCGACUGAAGCGGAAGUGCUCAGGAUGUGAAUCUGCGCUAUGCGCCGAAUUGUGGUCUGUAGACUGUGACAUUAUUGGCCGGGCCAAGUCCCUUGGAAAAGGGCAGCAGAGAGGGUGAGACUCCCGUCCGCCUGGCCGAGUGAGUCGCUAGUCAACGAGUCGAGUUGUUUGGGAUUGCAGCUCUAAGUGGGUGGUAAAUUCCAUCUAAAGCUAAAUAUUGGUGGGAGACCGAUAGCGUACAAGUACCGUGAGGGAAAGAUGCAAAGAACUUUGAAAAGAGAGUUAAAGAGUACCUGAAAUUGCUGAAAGGGAAGCGAAGGAAACCAGUGUUGAAUGUGUCAUACUUCCUGAUCCGCUUGCGGAUUGGGCGCUGUGUCAUGUUUUGGGUUGUCCUUGGUUGGUCGCGAUGGAAGAGCGCUAAAGGAGUUGACUUUGGUUGCUAGCAUUGCUUCUGACUGAGGAGGACGAAAUGGUUUUCUUUACCCCGUCUUGAAACACGGACCAAGGAGUCUAACAUAUGUGCGAGUAUAGGAGUGUCAAACUCCCAUGCGCAAUGAAAGUGACAGUGGUUGGACCUUUGGGCACAAUCCGCCGGCCUCAAUCCUUCGGGAGAACGGUCUGAGUGUGAGCAUACAUGUUGGGACCCGAAAGAUGGUGAACUAUGCCUGAAUAGGGUGAAGCCAGGGGAAACUCUGGUGGAGGCUCGUAGCGAUUCUGACGUGCAAAUCGCAUCGUCAAAUUUGGGUAUAGGG